GGAAUUACUGGGCGUAAAGCGCGUGUAGGCGGUUGCGUAAGUCGGACGUGAAAGCUCCUGGCUCAACUGGGAGAGGCCGUUCGAAACUAGGUAACUAGAGGGUGGUAGAGGCAAGUGGAAUUCCCGGUGUAGUGGUGAAAUGCGUAGAUAUCGGGAGGAACACCAGUGGCGAAGGCGGCUUGCUGGGCCAACCCUGACGCUGAGAUGCGAAAGCUAGGGGAGAGAACGGGAUUAGAAACCCCGGUAUUCCUAGCCGUAAACGAUGUCAACUAGGUGUAGGUGGUUAUUGACCCCAUCUGUACUGUAGCAAACGCGUUAAGUUGACCGCCUGGGGAAUACGGCCGCAAGGCUAAAACUCAAAGGAAUUGACGGGGACCCGCACAAGCAGCGGAGCGUGUGGUUUAAUUCGAGGCUACGCGAAGAACCUUACCAGGGUUUGACAUAUGCGUGGUAGGGAGUCGAAAGAGGACCGACCCUUCGGGGAGCGCAUACAGGUGCUGCAUGGCUGUCGUCAGCUCGUGCCGUGAGGUGUUAGGUUAAGUCCUGUAACGAGCGCAACCCUCGUCGUUAGUUACAAGUGUCUAGCGAGACUGCCGGUGAUAAGCCGGAGGAAGGUGGGGAUGACGUCAAGUCAGCAUGGCCUUUAUAUCCUGGGCUACACACACGCUACAAUGGCCGGUACAAUGGGCAGCCAAGCCGUGAGGCGGAGCCAAUCCCGCAAAGCCGGUCUCAGUUCGGAUUGUAGGCUGCAACUCGCCUGCAGAAGUCGGAGUUG
Molecule: ribosomal RNA, 775 nt
Filed under: uncultured organism
Description: bacterial SSU rRNA
Rfam family: Bacterial small subunit ribosomal RNA
Source: RNAcentral